Molecule: ribosomal RNA, 253 nt
Filed under: uncultured bacterium
Lineage: Bacteria
Description: partial 16S ribosomal RNA
Rfam family: Bacterial small subunit ribosomal RNA
Source: RNAcentral
UACGUAGGGUCCGAGCGUUGUCCGGAAUUACUGGGCGUAAAGAGCUCGUAGGUGGUUUGUCGCGUUGUUCGUGAAAACUCACAGCUCAACUGUGGGCGUGCGGGCGAUACGGGCAGACUAGAGUACAGCAGGGGAGACUGGAAUUCCUGGUGUAGCGGUGGAAUGCGCAGAUAUCAGGAGGAACACCGGUGGCGAAGGCGGGUCUCUGGGCAGUAACUGACGCUGAGGAGCGAAAGCGUGGGGAGCGAACAGG